Molecule: non-coding RNA, 7948 nt
Organism: Lepisosteus oculatus (spotted gar)
Lineage: Eukaryota; Metazoa; Chordata; Actinopteri; Semionotiformes; Lepisosteidae
Source: RefSeq, a predicted model, not a curated record
UCAUUAACCAUUGUUUAUUAAUGAAAUACUAACAAUACAUUGCAGAUCAUUAAACAUUCAUUAUUCACAAUCAUAUGCAGAAAUAAAGCACUUACUAAUUGUUCAAAUUUCUCAAGAUAAGUCAAAGUGUCACUGGAAAUUUAUUUUAAUAUCUGCUCUGUGCAUUUUGUUCUGUGCACACUUCUUUGGUGAUGCCAUCAAAACACAUUUCCUAAUUUCACCUACUCCUACAAUAAAACUAAAGCCCUGAAGUAGUGUUAGUAGAAACAGUACUGCUUCCCCUUCAAAGGAAAAGGUUUUUCACUCUGAGAAAAAAAACGUCUAACUGUAUACAGCUCAUUCAGAAGUGGAAACCACUAUUUUCCUACUACCAGAUUCAGUGUUCGUAUCACACAGGAAUACAAAAUGACAAAAUUAUUGCGGUGAAAAUUCUACACAGAUUCUUAUUUUUAGCCUUUCUUUUUAUGUCACUAUUUUUGAAUUUUAGUGAUCCAAAGAACCUUUGUCAUGUAGCAGAGUUACAGUUUUAAUAGUGGAGUGAUCCAAAUGUCAAAAUCUGGCAAAUGAAAGACUAUAAGACGUUAAACUCUGCUGCGAGUGUCACUACAAGGUCAUGGGAGAGGGGGCUCAGAGAGGUACUUCUCUACAGUGUUCAUCUGCAUAGAUUCCCAAAAUCCAAUAUACAGUAUUUUAGAAGAUAUCAUAUUUCCCAAAUCCCCCCAUUUUGUUUAGCUGCAAUGUGGUGUUCUUCUGUAGUUUCAGAAGUAGUACCCAGAACAGACUCGUGCAGCAGUAGCUCUUUACCUAAAUCUUGCUUUAGUUUGGAAAUUGACUAAGGCCUGGAAAAGAGGGAACCAAAAACGAGCCCACAUGAGUCAUGCUGCCUUCUUAUUAAAGUAAAAUCCCACAUACGCAUGAAGAAUAUGAAAGAAAAACUGAGUCAUUAUGCAGAUUUCAGGAUCAAGUUCCAAGGAAUUUCAUCUUAAAAUUCAAAGGCAAACCUUUCUGUAGAAUACUUUUUUACCUAAAAAAAACAAACAAUGAGCCAAGAAGUUGCCUCUUGUUUUUAAACAUUGAUUACAUUUUGGGAAUACUGUCCUAUUACUUGUUUAUGAAGGUACAGGCUAUGUGUAUCCCCCCUCCCCGACAGCCCAGUCCCCAUCGUGUCUUCCUCCUCCUGAGACAGCAGGCCGGGCCUCCUGCCAUUCGAAGGCCUAGCCGGAGGGCCGCUGGGGCCCCCGAUGGCCCCUCUCCACUUGCCAGGAUUCACCGCUAUCACGCCUCUGGAUCAGUCUAGCCAGAGUCUCCCUGGCCAGAGUGGACUCUGUUUUUCCUUCCACUUUAAACCUCUGAUGUCUGUUGUCAAAUGGCCGUUCUGACACAGAAACGUCAUGUAUGCCUUGCGAUGCUCUGGAGAAAAUAAACGGUGAAGGAAAUCACUGCGCCAGAGGACGAAUUGUGAGGUUCCCUAAGAUAAUCUCGAAGUGCUGCCUGAAUUCUUCGGAUAUUUCCUAUCCGAGCAGGGAAUGUGAUGUGAAACUUUUGCCAUGCAGGAGCAUCCUCUUAAGCAGCUUUGUGAUCCUUCAUUUAUAUGCAGGCACAUGGGUCGCAGGGGAGCCGGACUCUUUCCCAGCAAGCAACGGGCGCAAGGCAGGGUACACCUUGGACAAGACACGAGUCCAUCUCAGUACUGCGAGGAAGCAUUUUUCAAUGGUAUUGUUAGACCGGAACCAAAAUCCACCGCAUUUAUUUGAAAAAUAGAAUUAAAUGUUUAUGCUGGUGUCCUUGCAUUUGCAUACAACAAUCCUACAGUAGGUGUGUUGAAACAGCAAACGCUGCAGACAUGAGGAACUGCGCUGGAAGCAGCCUAGUCCUUUGGAGGAAAUUUAUUGUCAAAUGAAAACCAGAUCUGCUGUGGAAAUGAAAGAAAUAAAACUCUUUGUCAGAGCUGGUUACAUUUUGUUGACGAAGCCUAUUAUUGCGCAGGAUUAAUUUGAUAGGAACCAGAAGCAGAGAUCUGCAGAGUGGGACCGUAGUUAUCAUGCAGCGUUGCUCUCCCGGCUGCUGAUGUCAUUUUGCCUGCAAGGUACAUCUUUUCAGCCAGCAGGGAGAACGCUUGCCUCCGCGAAUACUAAGUGCUAAGUGCUGGUGCUGCACAGCCGCUCGUCUGACAACCCAGCCACACAUCUGCAUGGAAGUCCCCACCCAAAUGUUAUUUUUUUCCCGUGACGAGCCCUCAGCUGAUAUAGAUCAUUACAGUGCAAUUAAAUCUUCGUUUUGAGAACAAAAAUCACAUCAGCAGUACAAAUGACAUUUAUUCCUAAAAAUGUGAUACAUCAUCAUACGUGCAAUGGCAAAGCCCGGGGAAAGACACAGCCGCAUGCUAGAUGAACCACUUCAAUUUUCCAUCAAUCAAAUUACAGUUUAUUGUUCAGCUGAGCAACCUCAGGCAACACAAACCUAGAAACUGUCAGUUAUGAAACAUUACAUUUUUCCUGUCAUAUUAAACCCUAGACGCAGGCAUUAAAAAGAAUGUCACAUCCCUGACGAGUUUAAUAUUCCUUAAUUUAGCCAGAGCUAAUUCUUCUGUAGUGUGUUCUAUUCUGGGGUUAUAACGGUGUUAGGUUACACAAAUUUCAUUAAACCACAUUAAGUACAUUUUUUAUUUCCAACUUAAUGAUUUUUAAAAUUUAAUUUGUUACAGGAAGAUUGCUUAUAAUAGUAUUUUAACGAGUCUAUCAGAAAUGAGGUCUGCAUUAGUAUAUCUUAUUAUGUAUUAAACAUUUUCGGUUUUGGAGAACAAUAGAUUGAAAACAUUUUAAUUCAAUCCAUCAGCUGGAAUACUAAAAACUAGUUACACCUUUGUUAGAAGUGGAAAUGAUAGGGGGAUCCGUGCCUUUAUUUCUGGGACAAAUUCAUUACUGGUGUAAAGGGCAAAAAUGCCCUCAGUUUAGUUUCAGAUCAUCCCUAUCUUAAAGAGCAACAGAAGCACAAGGUCUUCAGAAAGUCCAGGUCUAUAAAAAUGCCACUGUCCCCAGCAGACAAACGAGAAGGUCGUUCAGCCAUUCCAGCUUGUUUAAUAGGUAUUAACUAAUGAACUAAUCCAAGGAGCUGUUAAAAGAAACCGGGGUAUCAGCUUCAACAGCAUGGCUGGGCAAUUUGAUCCACACUCCCACAACCCAUUGUGUAAAGAAGUGCUUCUGUUCUUGAUAAGAAGAACUGUCCCAAAUUAUAACAGCUAAAGACUGAAAGAAAGGUUAAAAGGCAUCAUUCCCAAAUCACCUCAGCUCUGACCUGCAUUAAUACAAACAGACAUGGCCAUUUUAUUAAGUAUCAUUCGAAGAAGGUUACUGAAAAAAGAUGAAAAGAAGAAAAAAAGAAGAUGAUUAUGGUAAGGUAAAACAUAACAUUUACACAGCCAUACAAAGCCAAGGCUUGGCCUGCCUCUAGGCUAAGAUUGCUUACAACAUAGCUAAAGCACACCACAAUUCACAAGGAGGGCUAUGAAAAAAGACACAAAACAUUGCAUUGUCCAGGUAAUUGAAGUUCUUCCUCUCUUUUUCUCUCUCAGUCGCAGAGGUUAGAAAGGUCCUCCUUUAUCCUGAGGCGUAUGUUGGUCAAGGUGAAGGUAUAAUUUGGAGGUAAAACUCCUUCAGAACACAGACUUUCUGUAAAGCAUAUUUGUAGAGUGAAUGCCUUGUUCGUAUUGUAUUGUUUUGCAUUGUUUGAAUGACUAUGUAAACCAAAGUGGUUGACCUUUCCUAUACCCAUAUUGUGGAACAUAAAAUAAUUUUUAUAACUUAAUUUAUAACUCAAUUUGUAUUUGAAAACAGGAUCAUUUGUUUAUUUGUGUCUUGCAGACAGGUUAGUUUAGUGAUAACUGCAAACACCUCAGGACAUAUUUAUGCAGGUAAUCAAGCACUAAAUGUGCGUGCAUGGUUUCUGAAGUAUCUCCCGAAGACCCUUUCCCAAGUCUUACUGUGACUAUAAGCAAUAAUUUAAGUGGAGCGGCCUGGAAUUUCAGCUGUGAUGCAGGUACAGUGCUGUAAUUGUAGUCAUGGCCACUGCUCAAAUUCAGAACAGAUAAUUUCUCUGGCAACAGUCCCGCCUGAAGAAGACAACCACAUUGGAGAUGCAUACCCGGAAACCUUCUAACCGUGACAAAUCUGGAUUUUUUUUUUAAGAAAGGAAGAUCACAGUGCACAUGAAGGAAACAUGAGGCCUUUAGUUGCCCUUGAACCUACUGCAUUGGAAUACACUCAUGCACUCAUGCAUUGGAACAAACACAACCGCAUGCACACAAAGAGAAAUGUGUUUUGGUAUUCUUGUUCUCUAUUAAACCCGGACCCCACAGCUCUGAUCUGCCACAUGCCUAGAUUCCAAUUUUCAUUGAAGGAGGUAGGUCUUAAGUUGUAUGUCUACUAAUGUCUGUCACGUUAACAGACAAUAUUCAUAUUCACACUAAUGAUAAAGUACAUUCACCACAGGUAAUACACAUACUCUUUAAAAUAAAAAUUAAGCUUUUUUACAAAAUAAUUAAACUAUUGGACUGUAUACAAUAUAUUAGACUAUAACAGCUGAGCUGUGUGGAAAACCAUAGAAUCAAUCAACAAAAAGAUAAAAUCAUGAAUUAUAAUAAACCUUAAUAGCGGUAAUAAAAAUAAUAUAGGGAUUGAUCCCCAUUUACAAGUGUUCAGUUUCUAUUUGUAUUCCAGUUCGUGAUCAGCACACGUUCAGUUCGUAAACCCAGGUAAAUCCAGGGUGCCGAGUGUGUAUUCCUACUGUUCGGAGCUCUGCAACCCACUCAUCCAAUUGCUGUACAGUUCCACGUUUUUGAUGCUGACACACAGCCAUGUCAUAUGACCUGCAGACACACCUCCAAGCUUAGUUCCCAGUGAUGCAAUAGGAUCCACACGUAUUUCCUCGUAUACCAUGUUGUUCUCUUUGCAAGUGUUCUGGUAUUUACUUCCUUGUCUUUUACCUUCUAAAUCUCCCUCCUCCAGUCCCCAUUUUUCACAUAGCAGCAGUGAAAACCCAGUUUCCCAAGUCAGAGCCUGUUGCCUUUUUAGCUGAUGUGCUUGAAAGUCUCGCCAAUCAGCACAGGAAUUUAAGCUCAAAUGAAGCCACUUUGUUUCAAAACCUGGAGACUUGGAGAUGCAUGGCUUUCCUGUGCAGCUGUGGAAGUCAUGUCGCAUGGCAGUAUGAGAAGGCAAGCUUCCUCCUAACACAAAGCACAUGUGCAAGCCCAUGAGUUCAGCAGACCGCAAAAAGGCACACAUCCAUUGAAACCCUGCUUUUUGUCUCAAGUUUGGUUUUCCUUUGGUUUGCGUUUUGGUUUAGUGUAUCCACCUGGAGAAGAAACAGUUAAUUUUUGCAAGAGAACAAAGGCAGAACUUUGCACUUUUUCUUUCCAUCAACCCAUCCCUAGUUUAUCUGGAGAAAUGAAUGGGUCAUUAUAAUUACCCGUUGUCAGUAUGCAUAUGACAUGAACUGCCUUCUGAAUACCAUUAACUGUUAGCAUUUUUCUUCUGUAUCAUUUUUUUCAUCCCCGCUCAGCUACUUGGUAUUCUAGCAAUGAUAAUUAUCAUUCACUGAGAGCUCCAUCAGCGUGCAUCUUAAAUAGACGGCAGUAAUAGGCUUGACACGUUCUAUUUUAUUAUUUUUCAAUGCAAAUGGCAGAAAAAAAUGCGCUGCAGUUGCUGUAUGUGGUCUUUUGUGUCGAAUUCUGGUGACACAAAUGCCUCUUCCUUGUAGUAUAAGAUUGAACGUUUUUUUCUGUUAAAAAGCGCUUCACAUGAAUGAUAACCCUUAAUUCUUCACUGCAUGGCUUGCUUUCUGAUCCAUUACGGGCAGAAAGCCGAUUUGCAUCCCUAUAUUCAAAUGAGCUCUAUUAUAAAAGCUCUUCUAAUUAGCUCCACUUUCUGGUUCGUGGUUAAACUCUUGUUUGCCUGUCGUUCUGAUUAAAGCCACCAUUGUCUUCCAACAGCUAGAAUUAAUUCUUUCGGAAAAAAAAAAAGAUUCUGAUGAGGCGUUAGUUUAUUCCACAUCGCUGUUUGUUGCCUAAUUUACUCCGGGUCCCUGCUGUGCUUUCCUUAAGCUAUCCUCUUUGUCUUGCCUUUGAAAUUUACAAAAUCUUACAAGAAAUCAAUACUUAAUUGAUUAUUCACUUUUCUGCAGCUUCAAACAGCAAGCUCACACAAGAUCCCAUAGUAGUCACCCUAUUUCCAAUGCAGGAGGUUGCUUGGUGGCAGAGAGCUGCAAGCAUCCAGCAGCAGGCACCCUCAUGAGCUGCACAGUGGCGUACGGUGCCAGCAUCCGAUCAGGAGAAUGAAGAUGGUCUAACGAAGCAGGGAAAGUUCCCACGUGAGCCAGACACCAUGUCAGGGCUCUCAAGAAAAAGCAGAGGCAACGGGCAUCUAUAGAGAAAAAUCAACGACAACAGGAACCACGACCACAACAACAAAAAAAUGAGCCAGACUCCUGCACGUCCUCCUCUGUGUACCCAGCUUCCUUGUUUCUGUGGCACCGAAGCGGAGCAGGCGAGAUGCCACCUAACCCGGAGAACUUCUUAUCGCAACGGGAACAGGACUCGUGCUGUAUUCUCUGACAUGGAAUAAAGGAUGGCAAGCACGUAACGUUACGAAAUGUAGGACAAAUUCAGGCGAGUGAGAGGGAGAGAGCGAGAGAGACAGAUGGCGGUUCUGGCCAGGUGCCAAAGCCAGUGAAAUGAAUUACACUGCUGGAUGACUGUGCACCACUGGCGCUGCCACUUGUUGCCGCCUGGCAAGAGGGGCCCUGGUGCUGCCGGGGAGUCGCCUGGCAUGUCACGCGCCCCCUCAGACAACUUUGCACACCAAAGUCCCAGAACGCGCCGGGCUCUGACGACGAGGCACGCCGACGGGAGAUGCCCUGUGCAUACGGCAAGGGGAAGCACAGCCAUUGUGAAGCGUUUUGCCUAAUGAAGACUGGAGUGCUGGCAUUCAGGGCUGUAGUUAUGUGCCGCAUAUUAAUACGUGCUGAGUAGACAGCCUCCCCCCUUUAAGCGUGUGCCACUGAAAUGAAGCCUCCUAGGGAAGCUGCCACAGUGGGAGCAGGAAUUCACGAGGUAACAUAUCACUGCUGAAACUACAAACGGAGCGUAUGAAAUUCCAAAGAAGAACAUUUUGCUGUCUGACAUGAAGAAAAGCUAGUCCCAGGGCUGCAAUGUUUGGGUGUUUUUGAAAAGGCAGCCAGAGUCAUAGCAGGUUGUUCAAUAAACGCUUCAUACCCAGGAUAAAGGGAGACAUUAUGGGAUGCCCAGGGGGCUUUGGAAAUCAAAUACAAUGUUUGAAGUAGAACAAUUUGAGGUACAUUACAGAAAAGCAAUUUGAAUUGCCAAUGAGGCGAUGCAUAUCUGCAUGCUAAUUAGACCUGUGUCAAGCUAAGUCUGCAGUCUGCUGUUGAUGGGUAGGAAUGUGCUUGUAGCUCUGCUGGGAGACUGUUUUCGGAAUAAAUUAGCAGCUUUGUUCUACUACAUAUUUUCUGCAAACAAACAUGAAGUGCAGAAUCAAAAGGUGCGUCAGAAAUUAAAAUUAUUGAUUGAUAAAGCCGGCGUUUGAAAAUCUAAUUAGAGGAGACGUGGACAAAAGCUGAUAUUAUAAUAGAUUGUCUCUGAGCUAGCAGUCGGAUUGUGCUAGGACUGUAAUUUAUCUUUCUUAAUGCAACCUGGAUAUUAAAAAUGUAAUUAGAAUGGUAAGAUGAUCUGAUCAGAAAUAGCCACCUAGUGGCAAUGGGAUUCGUUUUCUUUUUGUUGUUCUUUUUAAAAAUGGAUUACAAAUCGGCACCGUAAUGUGCAAAAAGAGAAUGGUACUGAGGUUACGCAUUAAGGACUCAGAGGUCUGAAAUCUCAUUCUGCAGUUAACAACUUACAGGUGGGUAGCUGCAUCUGGAUGCGUAGGCUGCAAAGGGA